AGAAGGAUCUGCUGGAAAUACGAUUCGAACUAGAAUACAAAGUUGGGAGGUGAGAGGAGGUCAUGGAAAUAAGUAAAGGGAAAAAAGGUUAGGUAAAGGUUUAAUUUGUUUUUUGCUUUAUUUUAAUGCAAUGUAUCUUUAUAUUUUUUGUUAAGUCUUUUUUAUUGUUUGUUUUUUGUUAUAUGUUUAUUUUAUUUUGUAUGGUUUUUCCUUUCUUUUUUUGUAAUUCUAAACUUUGAAUAAAUAUCAUU
Molecule: non-coding RNA, 251 nt
Organism: Podarcis lilfordi (Lilford's wall lizard)
Lineage: Eukaryota; Metazoa; Chordata; Lepidosauria; Squamata; Lacertidae
Source: the annotation of a GenBank genome assembly